GUGCUUGAUUCGGCAGCAUAUAUAUACUAAAAUUAGAACGAAACAAAGAAGAUUAGAAUUCCCCUGUGCAAGGAUGACGUUCAAAAACAAAAUGUCCCUGAAUUCUACAAAUUUAU
Pelobates cultripes (western spadefoot toad) is the source of this 116-nucleotide non-coding RNA. The record is from the annotation of a GenBank genome assembly. Lineage: Eukaryota; Metazoa; Chordata; Amphibia; Anura; Pelobatidae.